CGGUACCGGAGGAGGAAGCCCCGGCUAACUACGUGCCAGCAGCCGCGGUAAUACGUAGGGGGCAAGCGUUGUCCGGAUUCACUGGGCGUAAAGCGCGCGCAGGCGGUGAUGUAAGUCUGAGGUGAAAACCCGAAGCUCAACUUCGGGACUGCCUUGGAUACUGCGUCACUUGAGGAUAGGAGAGGCAAGGGGAAUUCCACGUGUAGCGGUGAAAUGCGUAGAGAUGUGGAGGAACACCUGUGGCGAAGGCGCCUUGCUGGCCUAUUUCUGACGCUGAGGCGCGAAAGCGUGGGGAGCAAACAGGAUUAGAUACCCUGGUAGUCCACGCUGUAAACGAUGAGUGCUAGGUGUAGGUGGGCUCAUACCCAUCUGUGCCGAAGCUAACACAUUAAGCACUCCGCCUGGGGAGUACGGUCGCAAGACUGAAACUCAAAGGAAUUGACGGGGGCCCGCACAAGCAGUGGAGCAUGUGGUUUAAUUCGAAGCAACGCGAAGAACCUUACCAGGACUUGACAUCCCAUAGACCAGUCUAGAGAUAGACUUUCCCUUCGGGGCUGUGGUGACAGGUGGUGCAUGGUUGUCGUCAGCUCGUGUCGUGAGAUGUUGGGUUAAGUCCCGCAACGAGCGCAACCCUUACUUUGUGUUGCCAGCAUUCAGUUGGGCACUCACAAGGGACUGCCGCCGAUAAGGCGGAGGAAGGUGGGGAUGACGUCAAAUCAUCAUGCCCCUUAUGUCCUGGGCUACACACGUGCUACAAUGGGCGGUACAACGGGAUGCGAAGCCGCGAGGUGGAGCCAAACCCUGAAAACCGUUCGUAGUUCGGAUUGUAGGCUGCAACUCGCCUACAUGAAGCCGGAAUUGCUAGUAAUCGCGGAUCAGCAUGCCGCGGUGAAUCCGUUCCCGGGCCUUGUACACACCGCCCGUCACACCACGAGAAUGGGCAACACCCGAAGUCGGUGGGGUAAC
RNAcentral lists this ribosomal RNA (966 nucleotides) under uncultured Bacillota bacterium. RNAcentral's name for it is "bacterial SSU rRNA". It matches the Rfam family "Bacterial small subunit ribosomal RNA", at positions 473 to 1439 of the family's 1533-position model. Lineage: Bacteria; Bacillati; Bacillota. The record is from RNAcentral.